This 569-nucleotide ribosomal RNA is filed under the name Beauveria bassiana. RNAcentral's name for it is "eukaryotic LSU rRNA". The stretch from base 205 to 358 matches the Rfam family "5.8S ribosomal RNA". Lineage: Eukaryota; Fungi; Ascomycota; Sordariomycetes; Hypocreales; Cordycipitaceae. The record is from RNAcentral.
CGUAACAAGGUCUCCGUUGGUGAACCAGCGGAGGGAUCAUUACCGAGUUUUCAACUCCCAAACCCUUAUGUGAACCUACCUAUCGUUGCUUCGGCGGACUCGCCCCAGCCGGACGCGGACUGGACCAGCGGCCGCCGGGGACCAUCAAACUCUUGUAUUAUCAGCAUCUUCUGAAUACGCCGCAAGGCAAAACAAAUAAAUUAAAACUUUCAACAACGGAUCUCUUGGCUCUGGCAUCGAUGAAGAACGCAGCGAAAUGCGAUAAGUAAUGUGAAUUGCAGAAUCCAGUGAAUCAUCGAAUCUUUGAACGCACAUUGCGCCCGCCAGCAUUCUGGCGGGCAUGCCUGUUCGAGCGUCAUUUCAACCCUCGACCUCCCUUUGGGGAAGUCGGCGUUGGGGACCGGCAGCACACCGCCGGCCCUGAAAUGGAGUGGCGGCCCGUCCGCGGCGACCUCUGCGUAGUAAACCAACUCGCACCGGAACCCCGACGUGGCCACGCCGUAAAACACCCAACUUCUGAACGUUGACCUCGAAUCAGGUAGGACUACCCGCUGAACUUAAGCAUAUCA